This 276-nucleotide long non-coding RNA is filed under the name Vigna radiata. RNAcentral describes it as "long non-coding RNA (VRAD_LNC001694)". The record is from RNAcentral. Lineage: Eukaryota; Viridiplantae; Streptophyta; Magnoliopsida; Fabales; Fabaceae.
UACAGUAGAGAUAAUAGAGAAAAGGUUGGAGUGAAAGAGAUGAAAGAGAAAGGGUUGAGUGGAAUGAGAGAGCUGGAUAAGGGUUUGGUUUUUUUUUUUGUUUUUUGUUUUUUUUAAUUUUGAGAAUGAAAAUUAUUAAAAUACCCUUAAACUUAAAACUUAGAAUUCAUGAUACAUAAGGGUAUUUUUCUCUACUGAAACCCGAUACACAUUGCUAAAAUGUACCAAUUGAGAAACAAGCAUACGCAAGUUAGAAAACCCCGGUACAUAUUGCUG